This 1904-nucleotide ribosomal RNA is filed under the name Campylobacter jejuni. RNAcentral's name for it is "partial 23S ribosomal RNA". It matches the Rfam family "Bacterial large subunit ribosomal RNA", at positions 1034 to 2925 of the family's 2925-position model. The record is from RNAcentral. Lineage: Bacteria; Pseudomonadati; Campylobacterota; Epsilonproteobacteria; Campylobacterales; Campylobacteraceae.
ACCAGCUAAGGUCCCUAAGUCUUACUUAAGUGGAAAACGAUGUGAAGUUACUUAAACAACCAGGAGGUUGGCUUAGAAGCAGCCAUCCUUUAAAGAAAGCGUAAUAGCUCACUGGUCUAGUGAUUUUGCGCGGAAAAUAUAACGGGGCUAAAGUAAGUACCGAAGCUGUAGACUUAGUUUACUAAGUGGUAGGAGAGCGUUCUAUUUGCGUCGAAGGUAUACCGGUAAGGAGUGCUGGAGCGAAUAGAAGUGAGCAUGCAGGCAUGAGUAGCGAUAAUUAAUGUGAGAAUCAUUAACGCCGUAAACCCAAGGUUUCCUACGCGAUGCUCGUCAUCGUAGGGUUAGUCGGGUCCUAAGUCGAGUCCGAAAGGGGUAGACGAUGGCAAAUUGGUUAAUAUUCCAAUACCAACAUUAGUGUGCGAUGGAAGGACGCUUAGGGCUAAGGGGGCUAGCGGAUGGAAGUGCUAGUCUAAGGUCGUAGGAGGUUAUACAGGCAAAUCCGUAUAACAAUACUCCGAGAACUGAAAGGCUUUUUGAAGUCUUCGGAUGGAUAGAAGAACCCCUGAUGCCGUCGAGCCAAGAAAAGUUUCUAAGUUUAGCUAAUGUUGCCCGUACUGUAAACCGACACAGGUGGGUGGGAUGAGUAUUCUAAGGCGCGUGGAAGAACUCUCUUUAAGGAACUCUGCAAAAUAGCACCGUAUCUUCGGUAUAAGGUGUGGUUAGCUUCGUACUAGGAUUUACUCCGAAAGCGAAGAAACUUACAACAAAGAGUCCCUCCCGACUGUUUACCAAAAACACAGCACUCUGCUAACUCGUAAGAGGAUGUAUAGGGUGUGACGCCUGCCCGGUGCUCGAAGGUUAAUUGAUGGGGUUAGCAUUAGCGAAGCUCUUGAUCGAAGCCCGAGUAAACGGCGGCCGUAACUAUAACGGUCCUAAGGUAGCGAAAUUCCUUGUCGGUUAAAUACCGACCUGCAUGAAUGGCGUAACGAGAUGGGAGCUGUCUCAAAGAGGGAUCCAGUGAAAUUGUAGUGGAGGUGAAAAUUCCUCCUACCCGCGGCAAGACGGAAAGACCCCGUGGACCUUUACUACAGCUUGACACUGCUACUUGGAUAAGAAUGUGCAGGAUAGGUGGGAGGCUUUGAGUAUAUGACGCCAGUUGUAUAUGAGCCAUUGUUGAGAUACCACUCUUUCUUAUUUGGGUAGCUAACCAGCUUGAGUUAUCCUCAAGUGGGACAAUGUCUGGUGGGUAGUUUGACUGGGGCGGUCGCCUCCCAAAUAAUAACGGAGGCUUACAAAGGUUGGCUCAGAACGGUUGGAAAUCGUUCGUAGAGUAUAAAGGUAUAAGCCAGCUUAACUGCAAGACAUACAAGUCAAGCAGAGACGAAAGUCGGUCUUAGUGAUCCGGUGGUUCUGUGUGGAAGGGCCAUCGCUCAAAGGAUAAAAGGUACCCCGGGGAUAACAGGCUGAUCUCCCCCAAGAGCUCACAUCGACGGGGAGGUUUGGCACCUCGAUGUCGGCUCAUCGCAUCCUGGGGCUGGAGCAGGUCCCAAGGGUAUGGCUGUUCGCCAUUUAAAGCGGUACGCGAGCUGGGUUCAGAACGUCGUGAGACAGUUCGGUCCCUAUCUGCCGUGGGCGUAAGAAGAUUGAAGAGAUUUGACCCUAGUACGAGAGGACCGGGUUGAACAAACCACUGGUGUAGCUGUUGUUCUGCCAAGAGCAUCGCAGCGUAGCUAAGUUUGGAAAGGAUAAACGCUGAAAGCAUCUAAGCGUGAAGCCAACUCUAAGAUGAAUCUUCUCUAAGCUCUCUAGAAGACUACUAGUUUGAUAGGCUGGGUGUGUAAUGGAUGAAAGUCCUUUAGCUGACCAGUACUAAUAGAGCGUUUGGCUUAUCUUUAAUAAAGCAU